CUUGUUUCCUCUGCUCGCCGCCACACACACACACACACGCAUCGAGCCAGGGAGAUGAGCUCCCUGCGCCCGAUCCCCUCGCCGCCUCCACCGUGAGACCCCCACACCCCACCACCUCCUCGCCGCCGUCGCGCCCCCUUUCAUCAGCAGCCGUGCCCUCGUCCUGUCCCCUCUGCCUCCUCCUCGUCGCUCGCAUCCGCCGCCAGCCACCGCAGAACCAGGCCGCUACCGCUUCAUCCCGCCUCCUCCUUGUCCAACUCCGGUGGCUCCACACCUGCAUCUCCACCGGCGCCAUCCAUCCCCAUCGCCCGAGCACUCGAGGAGAGGAGCUCCUCGAGCACCUGCGCCCGCAUCCGUCGUCCUCCGCGCCCAGCAGGAGCCCCGCGCCGCUCGUCCCCUCCGUUUUGGUCGGAGUUCGCUGGAGCCCCAUCACCGGACCAUCUUCGCCUUCGCCUCCUACUACCGGCGCGCCGCCCUACCUCCGCCUCGUCUUGCCGUCGACCGUGCCAAGUCCUGUCGGCGCCAUGCCCAACCUUCUCCUCUGCUUCGUCCCGGGAGAAGAGGGACGUGCCUCGUCCCGCUCUUGCGCUUUGACCGCCAGGGUCACUCGCAUGGGCUAGGCCCAGAUCCCCGGCUUCUCCCUGUCCUUCCGCCUCGUCAGCUUCCAGCCGGAGGAUCUCCGCCCUUAACUUUGCCCUGCCUUGGAGCUGCCGCUGCUCUGCCCGCUAGGACCCCAUCUCAAGGCCAGGGACGCCCUGCCUGCUGCGCACCAUGGCUCCUGGAGCUCCACCCGUGACGAGCAUCUUCUCCAUCGUAUCCUCCUUGGACGUCGACACCAAGUACCCUGGACCGCCAAGUUCGUCUACUGCUGUCUAGUGUACGAUUACCAUCUCUGUUGACCCGAGCCCCUUCUGUCUCACUUUGUUUGGAUCGGCAAGAACGAGAUGCACCAAGUACCUCAACCCGAACGUCUACGACCCGUGAACAACUACCGUCGCAAAGAUCGCGAGUACCUCUACUGUCGCCGUGAACAACUACUUCCCACGACUCCCGUGAACCACUACUUUCACUAUCGUCGCGAGAACGACUACUUCCACUACGACCCGUGUAUCGCUACUUCCAUCUACAUUGCUCCGAGCUCGAACUGCCCCGAAAUGCACGCUUCGAAGUUGCAGGUGCCGAUGAUACCAGUGCAGGUGAUGCAACUGAGCUCAGAUGGGAGCUCAACGAAGACCUUGGUCAUUGCUAUGUAUCGUUUCAUGUUGAUUAGUAGGGGAGCCCAGUUGGGAUGAUCGGGGAUCUAGCAGUUGGGUUAUCUUCUUUUCUUUUGGCUUCGUCCGUAGUCGUACUAUGUGUGUGCUCUAAAUGAUAUAUGAAUUAUAUGUUCAUUGUGUGAAGUGGCGAUUGUAAGCCAACUCUUUAUCCCA
Long non-coding RNA from Triticum aestivum (bread wheat), 1427 nucleotides. RefSeq lists it as uncharacterized. The transcript is spliced from 2 exons. NCBI's taxonomy places the organism in Eukaryota, Viridiplantae, Streptophyta, Magnoliopsida, Poales, Poaceae. The record is from RefSeq and is a predicted model, not a curated record.